RNAcentral lists this long non-coding RNA (302 nucleotides) under Mytilus galloprovincialis (Mediterranean mussel). The record is from RNAcentral. Lineage: Eukaryota; Metazoa; Mollusca; Bivalvia; Mytilida; Mytilidae.
UUUAGGACUAUACAAAUAUGUUUAUCCAACUAAAUAUUUAGGAGAGACAAGUUUGUGUGUCCACACUUAUUACACAUGAACAGAAUCUGAUUUUAGGCAAUAAUUAGACAAGGUGCAUUAGUAGAUUUAGAUGGUGGAAAAAUUACAUAUAAGUUAUUCUAUUGUUAAGAGGUCUUAAUUUUCUUAAUUCUUGUCUUAAUAUCAGACUAAAAGUAUAAACUUACAAAUGUUUCUUUUUUUUAAUUGAAUUUUCAAAAAAUUGUAAAACUGGCAUUUUUAUUCCUCUUAUUUUAAUAUAAAAU